This 397-nucleotide ribosomal RNA is filed under the name uncultured bacterium. RNAcentral describes it as "partial 16S ribosomal RNA". It matches the Rfam family "Bacterial small subunit ribosomal RNA", at positions 523 to 918 of the family's 1533-position model. The record is from RNAcentral.
AUACGUAGGUGGCAAGCGUUGUCCGGAAUUAUUGGGCGUAAAGCGCGCGCAGGUGGUCCUUUAAGUCUGAUGUGAAAGCCCACGGCUCAACCGUGGAGGGUCAUUGGAAACUGGGGGACUUGAGUGCAGAAGAGGAAAGUGGAAUUCCAAGUGUAGCGGUGAAAUGCGUAGAGAUUUGGAGGAACACCAGUGGCGAAGGCGACUUUCUGGUCUGUAACUGACGCUGAGGCGCGAAAGCGUGGGGAGCAAACAGGAUUAGAUACCCUGGUAGUCCACGCCGUAAACGAUGAGUGCUAAGUGUUAGGGGGUUUCCGCCCCUUAGUGCUGCAGCUAACGCAUUAAGCACUCCGCCUGGGGAGUACGGUCGCAAGACUGAAACUCAAAUGAAUUGACGGGG